RNAcentral lists this transfer RNA (76 nucleotides) under Actinomycetota bacterium. RNAcentral's name for it is "tRNA-Thr". It matches the Rfam family "tRNA". Rfam says of the family: Transfer RNA (tRNA) molecules are approximately 80 nucleotides in length. Lineage: Bacteria; Bacillati; Actinomycetota. The record is from RNAcentral.
GCCGGAGUAGCUCAGCUGGCAGAGCAGCGGUUUCGUAAACCGCAGGUCGUCGGUUCGAGUCCGACCUCCGGCUCCA